GUGCAGACCUGAAAUCCAAGAGUAAACAGAUCCUUUUCAUCUAGAGGAAGAACACCAACAUGGUGCUGUCCAGGCUGCUGAAGCUGGUCAUGGUGUCCAUGUGGCUGGGAUCCAGUUUUGCCCAGAAGGUGACUCAGGCCCAGCCAGCCAUGUGGGUGCAGGAGAAGGAGGCUGUGACCCUGCUCUGCUCCUAUGACACCACUGUGACAAGUUAUGGUCUCCUCUGGUACAAGCAGCCCAGCAGUGGGGAGAUGGUCUUCCUCCUUCUUCAGAACUCUUACAGCCAGCAAAAUGCCACAGAAGGUCGCUACUUAGUGAAUUUGCAGAAGGCAAGCAAAUCCAUCCAGCUUGUCAUCUCAGCCUCACAGCUGGGGGACUCAGAGGUGUAUUUCUGUGCACUGAGAGAUGGCACAUUUUCAGAGGUCUUGGACUUGCACAUCAAUUGA
Molecule: non-coding RNA, 446 nt
Organism: Marmota flaviventris (yellow-bellied marmot)
Lineage: Eukaryota; Metazoa; Chordata; Mammalia; Rodentia; Sciuridae
Source: the annotation of a RefSeq genome assembly